RNAcentral lists this transfer RNA (75 nucleotides) under Candidatus Roizmanbacteria bacterium RIFCSPHIGHO2_02_FULL_38_11. Its description in RNAcentral is "tRNA-Thr". It matches the Rfam family "tRNA". Rfam says of the family: Transfer RNA (tRNA) molecules are approximately 80 nucleotides in length. The record is from RNAcentral. RNAcentral also lists the same sequence under 2 other names. Lineage: Bacteria; Candidatus Roizmaniibacteriota.
GCCCGGAUGGCUCAGUGGUAGAGCAAGUACUUGGUAAGUACUAGGUCGGGAGUUCGAUUCUCCCUCCGGGCUCAA